RNAcentral lists this long non-coding RNA (376 nucleotides) under Ananas comosus (pineapple). RNAcentral describes it as "long non-coding RNA (ACOM_LNC018647)". The record is from RNAcentral. Lineage: Eukaryota; Viridiplantae; Streptophyta; Magnoliopsida; Poales; Bromeliaceae.
AGCGCGUCGCCCGUUUCCGAGGUCGGGGGCCUCCACGUGUUCGGCUCCGCCGACCUCGCCGGCGCCCUCCCCGACCACGGCGCCAAGGAGAUCCGCAUGCUCGUCCCCGCCGACCUCCCCGCCAAGGGUAAAUUCAAAUUCACCUACUAUCAAAUUCAAAAUCCUAAAAUUCAAAAUAAUAAUAAUAAUAAUAAUAAUAAUCUAGAAUUGAAUGGUUCGAAAUUUAGGGUCGGGGAUACCGGGGGGAGAGGAUUGCGAAGGGCGGAGAGGAGGAGGAGGAGGAGGAGGAGGAGUGGGGGAGGGGUUUAGCUUCGGAGCGGGGAAGGGGCUGGAGGAGGAGGAGAUGGAGGAAGGGGCGAUGGGGCCCGAGGAGCUG